This 253-nucleotide ribosomal RNA is filed under the name uncultured bacterium. Its description in RNAcentral is "partial 16S ribosomal RNA". It matches the Rfam family "Bacterial small subunit ribosomal RNA", at positions 524 to 776 of the family's 1533-position model. The record is from RNAcentral.
UACGAAGGGGGCUAGCGUUGUUCGGAAUUACUGGGCGUAAAGGGUUUGUAGGCGGUUAUACAAGUCAGUGGUGAAAGCCCGGGGCUCAACCUCGGAAUUGCCAUUGAAACUGUAUAGCUAGAGAAUGUUAGAGGAAAGUGGAAUUCAUAGUGUAGGAGUGAAAUCCGUAGAGAUUAUGAGGAAUAUCGAUGGCGAAGGCAGCUUUCUGGGACAUUUCUGACGCUGAGAAACGAAAGCGUGGGUAGCAAACAGG